CAGGUCACUCAGAGUGCUUGACACCUCUGGCCUAGAACAGAGAAAUUGGCAUUUAGAACUUAUUGAAUCCUGUCUGGAAACAUUGUACAGAUGUAAACAAACUGGAUUUGGAGUCAGAGAACAUGGAUUCAAAUUCCAGUGUGACACCAAUUGUGUGAGCUUGGAGGGAGAUGGACGGCCUGCGCUCCCAGAUCUCUCCCACCUGUGGAUGGGCGGCUCUGUCUAGGAUUCCAUUGAAUUAAAAAGUGGCAGCAUUUAGCAGUCGCUUUAAGGUCUGCCAUUUACGGUGGCCGUACACUGCCCGGCCCUUCCUGACGCCAAAGUGGAGAGGUCAGGGGCAUCCCAGCAGCUCAGAAAAGAAUCGUUCCCAGGCUUCGGCUGUCUGAAAGAGGCAACUUCACCAACUUUGGCUCCCCGCCCUUACACGGACUGUGGCGAGGAUUCCAUCGCCUGCUACUCCAGGGACGAGGCAGCUUUGCCGAGCAAGAAAGUGCCCUGAUCCCUUUUCUACCAUCUCCCGCCCUCUCAGACUUGGCCCCGGGGAGAGGACAGGAGAACACAGCCCUGGAGAACCGGGGGCCCGCCGGGACAAGGGGGUCUCAGGAAAUCGAGGCGGCCUCGGACCCUCCGGGCCCAGGCCCCCAAGGCUCGGCGAGCGCUACAGGAUCAGCAGGGAGAGCGGGACACGCUUACCACGCCAGCAGGGGCGAACGGAGCCGCGGGAGGAGAAGACUCAGAGAAGACGUCCGUUAACGGGGACGCCGCAGCCGCCACUGCUGCCGCCUCACUCAGACCGGUUCGCCUCAUGCGCGCACGCACCACCCAACCGGAAGUGGGCGCAUGCACCGCCCUCGUCGGACCUACCGGCUCUGUCUGGACCAAUCCCCAGAGACCCCGCCUCCGACGCCAGGUCUCCUCGGGCGGCCAUUGGUCCGAUGGGCACGUAGUUCCGAUUGGCUGGAAAGCGCCACGUCCCCACGAGCCCACGGAGUGGCGUGGACCUGAUUCCCGCCCAACCGUCUCCUUGGAACCCUUGCUUCUCCUCGGGAUGGGUAUCGCUCUACACCUUGCUCCCUUCCACGAGGGUGGGGGACGAAGUUCUCUGCGUGGACGGUCUCAUUUCCCCUCCCCUACCCGGAGAUGCGGGGUCGGGCGGUUGAUUAUAUUCUGAACCUUAUCUGCAACAAGUGGCAAUUAAUAUUGGGGCUCUUGGCCUCCUUGAGCCUUGGGUGCCACCUUCUCA
Molecule: long non-coding RNA, 1243 nt
Organism: Monodelphis domestica (gray short-tailed opossum)
Lineage: Eukaryota; Metazoa; Chordata; Mammalia; Didelphimorphia; Didelphidae
Source: RefSeq, a predicted model, not a curated record